Molecule: ribosomal RNA, 869 nt
Filed under: uncultured archaeon
Lineage: Archaea
Description: bacterial SSU rRNA
Rfam family: Archaeal small subunit ribosomal RNA
Source: RNAcentral
CUUCCGGUUGAUCCCGCCGACCCCGACUGCUAUCAGAGUGGGACUAAGCCAUGCGAGUCAACAUAGCAAUAUGUGGCAUACGGCUCAGUAACACGUAGUCAACAUGCCCAGGGGACGUGGAUAACCUCGGGAAACUGAGGAUAAACCGCGAUAGGUCAUCACUUCUGGAAUGGGUAAUGACUUAAAUCUAUAUGGCCCCUGGAUUGGACUGCGGCCGAUCAGGCUGUUGGUGAGGUAAUGGCCCACCAAACCUGUAACCGGUACGGGCUCUGAGAGGAGGAGCCCGGAGAUGGGCGCUGAGACAAGGGCCCAGGCCCUAUGGGGCGCAGCAGGCGCGAAACCUCUGCAAUAGGCGAAAGCUUGACAGGGUUACUCUGAGUGAUUUCCGUUAAGGAGAUCUUUUGGCACCUCUAAAAAUGGUGCAGAAUAAGGGGUGGGCAAGUCUGGUGUCAGCCGCCGCGGUAAUACCAGCACCCCGAGUGGUCGGGACGUUUAUUGGGCCUAAAGCAUCCGUAGCCGGUUCUACAAGUCUUCCGUUAAAUCCACCUGCUUAACAGAUGGGCUGCGGAAGAUACUAUAGAGCUAGGAGGCGGGAGAGGCAAGCGGUACUCGAUGGGUAGGGGUAAAAUCCGUUGAUCCAUUGAAGACCACCAGUGGCGAAGGCGGCUUGCCAGAACGCGCUCGACGGUGAGGGAUGAAAGCUGGGGGAGCAAACCGGAUUAGAUACCCGGGUAGUCCCAGCUGUAAACGAUGCAGACUCGGUGAUGAGUUGGCUUAUUGCUAACUCAGUGCCGCAGGGAAGCCGUUAAGUUUGCCGCCUGGGGAGUACGGUCGCAAGACUGAAACUUAAAGGAAUUGGCGGGGGAGCA